This 253-nucleotide ribosomal RNA is filed under the name uncultured bacterium. RNAcentral's name for it is "partial 16S ribosomal RNA". It matches the Rfam family "Bacterial small subunit ribosomal RNA", at positions 524 to 776 of the family's 1533-position model. The record is from RNAcentral.
UACGUAGGGCGCAAGCGUUGUCCGGAAUUAUUGGGCGUAAAGAGCUCGUAGGCGGUCUGUCGCGUCGGCUGUGAAAACCCGAGGCUCAACCUCGGGCCUGCAGUCGAUACGGGCAAACUAGAGUACUGCAGGGGAGACUGGAGUUCCUGGUGUAGCGGUGAAAUGCGCAGAUAUCAGGAGGAACACCGGUGGCGAAGGCGGGUCUCUGGGCAGUAACUGACGCUGAGGAGCGAAAGCGUGGGGAGCGAACAGG